Molecule: long non-coding RNA, 456 nt
Filed under: Homo sapiens (human)
Lineage: Eukaryota; Metazoa; Chordata; Mammalia; Primates; Hominidae
Description: HSALNT0406467
Source: RNAcentral
GCGGAGCACGGAGGACGGGGCCGGGCGACCUGGGCACCAGCAGGACCCGAGGCCAGGAGCCAGGGGCCCAGAAGGAGAAAGCAGCCUUCAAGGUCCCAGCACCCCCAAACCCACGAGCUCACACAAAACAACGCGAGCCACAAAUGCAAGCCACAUCUGUCAUUUAACACCUUCUAAUAGCCACAUUUUCAGAAAGUGAAAAUAAGCGGAUUGAGCUUCUAGAGCCUCAGAGAUGGAAUUCGCCGUUUUGCCGCGAUUUGGCGUUAACUUAUUGACCCAUGGGGAGGAGGGUCACUUCCCGUGAAAAGAAGGCAGAGAUGUUUUGCUGUGCCCAGUGUGAGGAAGCGAAGGAAAAGAAAGAUCUUUUGAAAAUGUGUACAUCUACUUGCAGCUUGAAAAUUCCAAGUGCCAGACAUUUUUCUUGGAGGAAAUAAAUGUCUUCAAUUUAUUCAUCUU